AUGUGUAAGCGAAGCGAUAUGUGGAGCGGUGAAAGGCUCAGUAACGGGCGAUUUAUUUGAUCUCCUGGGACGGACAACAUCGGGAAACUGAUGGGAAAACGUCUAAGUUGCAGUUUUCUGAUUGCGACGUAAACCAUAGUGUGCAGGAGAGUAAGAUGCCAUCCUAUCAGUUAGUAAGUAGGGUAAGGGCCUACUUAGACGAAGACGGGUACGGGGAAUGAGGGUUUGAUUCCGGAGAGGGAGCCUGAGAGAUGGCUACCAGGACCAAGGUCAGCAGCAGGCGCGAAAAUUAUCGAAGCCCGCCUAGGGGCGAUAGUGAGGAGACGUGUAUACGAAGUACGUGUAAAGACCGUACUAAUAACUGGAGGUCAAGUCUGGUGCCAGCAUCCGCGGUAAUUCCAGCUCCAGGGGUGUCUAUGAUGAUUGCUGCGAUUAAAAAGUCCGUAGUCGAGCUGACUGACUGACCUGCAAUGUGAUUGAUUAAAGAACGAGCAGGGUUAGGAAAGCAGAGGAUUAGGAGCGACCGAGGGCUAGAGUAUUGAAUGGCGAGAGGUGAAAUUUGAUGACCCAUUCAGGAGUGACAAAGGCGAAGGCACUAGUCAAGGGCGAAUCCGAUGAUCAAGGACGUAGGCUAGAGUUUCGAAAACGAUUAGAGACCGGAGUAGUUCUAGCAGUAAACUAUGCCGACGCCGUGGUAUUAUUUAGUAUUGCGGAAGAGAAAUCAAGUAAGGCUUUGGGGAGAGUACGCGCGCAAGCGAUAAAUUUAAAGGAAAUUGACGGAGGAACACCACAAGGAGUGGAGUGUGCGGCUUAAUUUGACUCAACGCGGGACAGCUUACCAGGCCCGAUAAUCGAGCGAGCGUAGUACGCGAUAGGUUAAAAAGUGGUGCAUGGCUGCUAUCGACAGUUGGGGUGACCUUAGGGUUAAUUCCGGCAAGUAGUGAGACCCCUGCAGAUAGUGGACAGGUAUUUUUAAGAUACAGGAAGGAAAGGGACAAGAGCAGUCAGUGAUGCCCUUAGAUGGGCCUGGCUGCACGCGCACUACAGUGGUUCAUUAUAGUAGAAAGUUAGAUAUUAAAGAAUGAAUCGAGAGGGACCUGAACUUUGUUAAGAGGCUCACGUACGAGGAAUUGGCUAGUAUUCGUAAGGC
Molecule: ribosomal RNA, 1150 nt
Filed under: Dictyocoela sp. GF
Lineage: Eukaryota; Fungi; Microsporidia
Description: partial small subunit ribosomal RNA
Rfam family: Microsporidia small subunit ribosomal RNA
Source: RNAcentral